UUCCAGCAAGAGAGUCUACUGGCUUUAGUGAGCAAGAAGAGCUUGGCUGCCACGCAUGAGUCUCACUUUGAUGGACAGUUAUUGACAGGUCUUCUUCUGAGAAUUACUGUUCUGUGAAUUCUUACCAAGUGACACUGAUAGGAAAUUUCACAGCAAAGUUCCCGGAGGUCAGCCCUCUUCCUAAUGAUGCUGAGCAGGACUGACAAGCCAUGUUGUCUCCACAAGGGCAGAGCCCAGACGCCUGAGUCACCCCUGCCUGAUCAACCUUACAGGCUGUACACACAGUGACACAACCAGGGAGAAGUAGGAAAAUGGGCAGUUCCCUUUACCUUAAUUCCGUCAUGUUUUUACAGUAUGUUCUUGCUGAUCAAGCCAAUUCAAGCCUGACAAAAAAGGAGAGGACCUGAUCAAGAGUUUGUCUAGAUUUUGUUCACUCACGGUCAUCAAAAAGGCCUCCUUGGGCCAGCACUGCCUCCACAUUCACAGGUCCAGGCCAUGGCCCCGUG
RNAcentral lists this long non-coding RNA (506 nucleotides) under Homo sapiens (human). Its description in RNAcentral is "HSALNT0022181". The record is from RNAcentral. Lineage: Eukaryota; Metazoa; Chordata; Mammalia; Primates; Hominidae.